UACAGGGGGGGCAAGCGUUGUUCGGAAUUACUGGGCGUAAAGGGUUCGUAGGUGGCCACUUAAGUCAGACGUGAAAUCCCUCAGCUUAACUGGGGAACUGCGUCUGAUACUGAGUGGCUUGAGUGCAGGAGAGGAACGCGGAAUUCCAGGUGUAGCGGUGAAAUGCGUAGAUAUCUGGAGGAACACCGGUGGCGAAGGCGGCGUUCUGGACUGCAACUGACACUGAGGAACGAAAGCCAGGGGAGCAAACGGG
RNAcentral lists this ribosomal RNA (253 nucleotides) under uncultured bacterium. Its description in RNAcentral is "partial 16S ribosomal RNA". It matches the Rfam family "Bacterial small subunit ribosomal RNA", at positions 524 to 776 of the family's 1533-position model. The record is from RNAcentral.